This 403-nucleotide ribosomal RNA is filed under the name uncultured bacterium. RNAcentral's name for it is "partial 16S ribosomal RNA". It matches the Rfam family "Bacterial small subunit ribosomal RNA", at positions 28 to 526 of the family's 1533-position model. The record is from RNAcentral.
GACGAACGCUGGCGGCGUGCCUAAUACAUGCAAGUCGAACGCAGUGGGGACGGGUGAGUAACACGUGGGUAACCUCCCAUCAGAGGGGAUAACACUUGGAAACAGGUGCUAAACCGAUACUGAUGGAUGGACCCGCGGUGCAUUAGCUAGUUGGUGAGGUAACGGCUCACCAAGGCCACGAUGCAUAGGCGACCUGGCAGGGUGAUGGGGCACACUGGGGCUGAGACACGGCCCAGACUCCUACGCGGGGCGGCAGUAGGGAAUCUGCGGCAAUGGAGGAAAGUCUGACAGUGAAGCGCCGCGUGAGGGAAGGAGGUUUUCGGGUCGUAAAACUCUGGUGUUGGAGAAGCGGUAUCUAACCAGAAAGCCACGGCUAACUACGUGCCAGCAGCCGCGGUAAUAC